UCAGACAGCGUACUGGCACCCACCUUGAUCAGACCAUGAAUCUUUAGAUUUGAUCAUCCAUGAUUUCGAUCUAGCCAUGACUUGAUUUGAUCAUGUUGAUUUUACCAAUCGAGAUAUUGGAUCAAUCGUAAUGUUGGAUUGUGUCACCUGAUCAAUUCGAAUUAUACCUCAUGAAUUCUCUCUCUACUUGAUUUUAUGAAAUCGAUGAAGAAACCUCAGUCC
This 222-nucleotide long non-coding RNA is filed under the name Elaeis guineensis (African oil palm). RNAcentral's name for it is "long non-coding RNA (EGUI_LNC059737)". Lineage: Eukaryota; Viridiplantae; Streptophyta; Magnoliopsida; Arecales; Arecaceae. The record is from RNAcentral.